This 768-nucleotide ribosomal RNA is filed under the name Microbacterium aquimaris. RNAcentral describes it as "bacterial SSU rRNA". It matches the Rfam family "Bacterial small subunit ribosomal RNA", at positions 34 to 813 of the family's 1533-position model. Lineage: Bacteria; Bacillati; Actinomycetota; Actinomycetes; Micrococcales; Microbacteriaceae. The record is from RNAcentral.
CGCUGGCGGCGUGCUUAACACAUGCAAGUCGAACGGUGAAACAGAGCUUGCUCUGUGGAUCAGUGGCGAACGGGUGAGUAACACGUGAGCAACCUGCCCUGGACUCUGGGAUAAGCGCUGGAAACGGCGUCUAAUACUGGAUAUGAGAUGCGAUCGCAUGGUCGUGUUUGGAAAGAUUUUUCGGUCUGGGAUGGGCUCGCGGCCUAUCAGCUUGUUGGUGAGGUAAUGGCUCUUUAAGGCGUCGACGGGUAGCCGGCCUGAGAGGGUGACCGGCCACACUGGGACUGAGACACGGCCCAGACUCCUACGGGAGGCAGCAGUGGGGAAUAUUGCACAAUGGGCGAAAGCCUGAUGCAGCAACGCCGCGUGAGGGAUGACGGCCUUCGGGUUGUAAACCUCUUUUGGUAGGGAAGAAGCCUUCGGGUGACGGUACCUGCAGAAAAAGCGCCGGCUAACUACGUGCCAGCAGCCGCGGUAAUACGUAGGGCGCAAGCGUUAUCCGGAAUUCUUGGGCGUAAAGAGCUCGUAGGCGGUCUGUCGCGUCUGCUGUGAAAUCCCGAGGCUCAACCUCGGGCUUGCAGUGGGUACGGGCAGACUAGAGUGCGGUAGGGGAGAUUGGAAUUCCUGGUGUAGCGGUGGAAUGCGCAGAUAUCAGGAGGAACACCGAUGGCGAAGGCAGAUCUCUGGGCCGUUACUGACGCUGAGGAGCGAAAGGGUGGGGAGCAAACAGGCUUAGAUACCCUGGUAGUCCACCCCGUAAACGUUGGA